RNAcentral lists this ribosomal RNA (253 nucleotides) under uncultured bacterium. RNAcentral describes it as "partial 16S ribosomal RNA". It matches the Rfam family "Bacterial small subunit ribosomal RNA", at positions 524 to 776 of the family's 1533-position model. The record is from RNAcentral.
UACAGAGGUCCCAAGCGUUGUUCGGAUUCACUGGGCGUAAAGGGUGCGUAGGCGGUCGGGUAAGUCUGAUGUGAAAUCUCACAGCUUAACUGUGAAACUGCAUUGGAUACUAUCCGGCUCGAGGAAUGGAGGGGAGACUGGAAUACUUGGUGUAGCAGUGAAAUGCGUAGAUAUCUGGAGGAACACCGGUGGCGAAGGCGGCAUCCUGGACCGAGAUUGACGCUGAGGCGCGAAAGCCAGGGGAGCAAACGGG